UUAAAUUGAAGAGUUUGAUCAUGGCUCAGAUUGAACGCUGGCGGCAGGCCUAACACAUGCAAGUCGAACGGUAACAGGAAGCAGCUUGCUGCUUCGCUGACGAGUGGCGGACGGGUGAGUAAUGUCUGGGAAACUGCCUGAUGGAGGGGGAUAACUACUGGAAACGGUGGCUAAUACCGCAUAACGUCGC
This 190-nucleotide ribosomal RNA is filed under the name Salmonella enterica subsp. enterica serovar Typhimurium. RNAcentral's name for it is "partial 16S ribosomal RNA". It matches the Rfam family "Bacterial small subunit ribosomal RNA", at positions 1 to 182 of the family's 1533-position model. The record is from RNAcentral. Lineage: Bacteria; Pseudomonadati; Pseudomonadota; Gammaproteobacteria; Enterobacterales; Enterobacteriaceae.